UAAUACGAUUAUGUACAACUACAGUUAAGAGUUAUUUUCACAAGGAUAGUUAAAAUUGAAGAUUAAACUCAAAGUUGAUGGAAGAAUGGCACGAAACUCAUAUAUUUUUAUAUGAACAGAGUUUAACAUACUUCGUAUUAUGUUCGCUAAAAAUUUUUUUUUUAUAAUAGUAACAAAUAUUUUAGAAAUUAUGCACCAUUUAUUCUAUUAAAUUAAAAAAAACGAUUCCCAUUUAGUAAUAAACAUUUUUAUAAUCCGAGCACGUUUUUGAUAAACUACAAUAAAAUAUUAUAGAAACGAAUUUUAAGCUUUUCAGCAAAGAAGUUCUCCUUAAAUUCGAUUAAAGGGUACCGCAAGGCUGUAACUGAAGUUUUGGAGAGAAAAGUGCGGUGAUACAAACUUUCUGAGUCCACCGUAGUAGCAUUACGAAAGUACAAUAAAGCUUGGCACUUUUAAAACGUUAAGAAAUAA
Nymphalis io (European peacock) is the source of this 471-nucleotide long non-coding RNA. RefSeq lists it as uncharacterized. The transcript has 2 exons. The record is from RefSeq and is a predicted model, not a curated record. NCBI's taxonomy places the organism in Eukaryota, Metazoa, Arthropoda, Insecta, Lepidoptera, Nymphalidae.